This 625-nucleotide unclassified non-coding RNA is filed under the name Hevea brasiliensis (rubber tree). The record is from RNAcentral. Lineage: Eukaryota; Viridiplantae; Streptophyta; Magnoliopsida; Malpighiales; Euphorbiaceae.
AGGCAAGGCACUUCCACUUCAAUUAUCAUAAUGAUAAGUACACCAAAACAGAUCGAGAAACUGGUGGUGAGCAAUCCCCAUUUUCAAAUGCGGAGAGCAAUCCUCUUCAGAGAGGUCAAAAAGAGGUGAAUACCGAGAGCCCAAAUGAACUGAAGCAACAGAGGAAAUAUGAUGAUUGGAUGGGAGGGGGUCCAACAGAUGAACUGUUCCAAAAUUCCAUUUGCUCAAUUUGCAAGAACAGGAGACCAAGGAUUGGAUGGAAAAGAGACUUCACCUAUGCAGAACUCCAUGCUGCCACUGAGGGAUUUUCCCCCAAGAACUUCUUAUCUGAAGGUGGUUUUGGUUUUGUCUACAGAGGAGAGCUUGGUGGGUUGAAGAUAGCUGUAAAGCAAUACAAAAGUGCUAGCUUCCAAGGAGAGAAGGAAUUCAAGUCUGAAGUUAAUGUACUCAGCAAGGCUAGAAAUGAGAAUUUGGUGAUGUUGUUGGGUUCAUGUUCUGAAGGAAGUCACAGGCUGCUUGUUUAUGAAUAUGUCUGCAAUGGUUCAUUGGACCAACAUCUAUCAAGUAAGAACACAAUAUCUCAGAAUCUAAUUCAUCAUCACAAUCCUAAUCUAAGAGCUAUUUU